CCAUAAGGUCUCCUUGGAGCCUUCUCUUCUCCAGGCUGAACAACCUCAACUUUCUCAGCCUUUUGUCAUAGGAGAGGUGCUACAUCCCUACGAGCAUCUUUAUGUCAUCA
Molecule: long non-coding RNA, 110 nt
Organism: Empidonax traillii (willow flycatcher)
Lineage: Eukaryota; Metazoa; Chordata; Aves; Passeriformes; Tyrannidae
Exons: 3
Source: RefSeq, a predicted model, not a curated record